This is a non-coding RNA of Microcebus murinus (gray mouse lemur), 248 nucleotides long. Lineage: Eukaryota; Metazoa; Chordata; Mammalia; Primates; Cheirogaleidae. The record is from RefSeq and is a predicted model, not a curated record.
AAAACUGAGCAGAAGGUACAGAAAGUCCCUACAUACCACUACCCCUCCCCCAACACACAAGCACAACGCCCUCCACUAUGACAUCAUUGUCAGCCAGAGUCUGCAGUUCACAUGAGAGUUCACGCCUGGUAUUGUAUUCCAUUUCUGAGGACAACAGUCUGAAGAGAAAGUGUCCAGAUAGAACUUCAAACAUAUGGGAAAACUACCAAGCAACAAAACAGUAAAAUAAAUACUUUUGAGAAAUCACA